UACGGGGGGGGCAAGCGUUGUUCGGAAUUACUGGGCGUAAAGGGCUCGUAGGUGGCCAACUAAGUCAGACGUGAAAUCCCUCGGCUUAACCGGGGAACUGCGUCUGAUACUGGAUGGCUUGAGAUUGGGAGAGGGAUGCGGAAUUCCAGGUGUAGCGGUGAAAUGCGUAGAUAUCUGGAGGAACACCGGUGGCGAAGGCGGCAUCCUGGACGGGUACUGACGCUGAAGCGCGAAAGCUAGGGGAGCAAACAGG
This 253-nucleotide ribosomal RNA is filed under the name uncultured bacterium. RNAcentral describes it as "partial 16S ribosomal RNA". It matches the Rfam family "Bacterial small subunit ribosomal RNA", at positions 524 to 776 of the family's 1533-position model. The record is from RNAcentral.